CUACGGAGGGUGCAAGCGUUAUCCGGAAUCAUUGGGUUUAAAGGGUCCGUAGGCGGACUAUUAAGUCAGAGGUGAAAUCCCACAGCUCAACUGUGGAACUGCCUUUGAUACUGGUAGUCUUGAGUUAUGUGGAAGUAGAUAGAAUGUGUAGUGUAGCGGUGAAAUGCAUAGAUAUUACACAGAAUACCGAUUGCGAAGGCAGUCUACUACGUAUAUACUGACGCUAAGGGACGAAAGCGUGGGGAGCAAACAGGAUUAGAAACCCUAGUAGUCC
This 274-nucleotide ribosomal RNA is filed under the name uncultured bacterium. RNAcentral's name for it is "partial 16S ribosomal RNA". It matches the Rfam family "Bacterial small subunit ribosomal RNA", at positions 523 to 796 of the family's 1533-position model. The record is from RNAcentral.